Molecule: long non-coding RNA, 1076 nt
Organism: Anguilla anguilla (European eel)
Lineage: Eukaryota; Metazoa; Chordata; Actinopteri; Anguilliformes; Anguillidae
Exons: 3
Source: RefSeq, a predicted model, not a curated record
AUGAUCCUUGCAGUGGUCAAACGCUCACCUGGGGGGAGAAAGAUCGACCCUUUACGAUCAUUCCUUUCCUCCCAUGAGCACCCUGUGCCUUGCUAAGCCCCUUGGUGAGUGACAUUCAUCUGGAAUGUAAUUUAGAAUUCCUUGGCAUCGAAGACAUCCUGAAAACUGUGAAAGAUGACCCGCAUUCUACUUUAAGACCUUUAAAGUACGUCUUUAUCAUUUAACCUUUCUGCUUAAAAAAAUAUCUAAAUCAUUCCACACCAUUUAUUUUCUUUAAUCAGAUUUCAGCUUUUUUUCAGUGGAGGAAAUCCUCUAUCAUCUUUGUUUUCUUGACAACAAAAUGGCUGGUGGCAUUUGUACACCUGAUGAGGUAAUGACAGUUUAUACAUUUUGCAUUUACGAAAGGGGGAAAUUAACAGUUCACCUGGUAGAAAAUUACUAUUGACCAAAGGAAAUGCCUUAUCAGAGUCUGGACUUCAAACAUAUUGGCAAACAAUCUUUUUCACUAAUGACUGUAUGUGCCUCAGGCCUUACCCUGUCUGCUGGCUUAUGACUAUAAUAUGGUCAGUGAUCCUGGGAGGUCAUAGACAAGUACAAAGAAAUGACUUACUAGUUACAGUCCUGUAUUUUUUAUCUUGUGCUCUGCAAGACUGUAUCUUGUCUUGUUGUAAUGUUGGCUUGUAUUUGUGUUUUGUAAUUGGAUACCAUUUUGUAUCAGACUUAUCACUACCAUCUUCUCGUAGCAGACAAAACAUACAUUCAAAAGCUGUGGGUACACUUAGUUGAUGUGUUUGAGUUUCUGUUCUUUGGCGUUGUCAUGGUGACGCCCUGUGCUGGAUUGGGACACAACGCUCGGCGGCGUGAGGACUCGAGCAGGCCGGAGGUGUGUCUGUGGAGGUGCGUCAGAGUGGCGUGGGACUCCCUACAUUCCUGUUAGGGCAGAGGGACAGAAUCACAUAAAAGCACCCCAGCAAGGCCUGAAGACCCCUGCUGCCAGCUGGACAAUACACUCUGUGAUGGAGGGUUGACCAAUGUGUGUGUUGGGGGGGUGAGGGCCUUGUGGUUUGGAGUGCAGG